Non-coding RNA from Triticum urartu, 1483 nucleotides. The record is from RefSeq and is a predicted model, not a curated record. Lineage: Eukaryota; Viridiplantae; Streptophyta; Magnoliopsida; Poales; Poaceae.
UCAUAAUACAUGUAGAAUUCAUGUUUUAAAAUAUGAUGCACAAUAUGACAAGACCAGAGGGUCUGAGUCAUACGAUUACAAUUAGCCUGAUGGCUUCUUUGCAAGUAGUACUAAAGCUGAUGGCCUUAUUUGGCAAUAGAAGAAAAUAGAAGUGCAAAUUGUUAAAUGGCGGAAGAGAUAAUGUUCUCCGGUGAUUCUCGCUACGGCCAAGAAUCCAUCGAUUGAGUUAGCUUUGGCUGUACAGAGUCAUAGCACAUCUCCUCGUGAGGAAUUAGGAGGGAAGAUGGCGUCGCCAAUCGAAGGUCGUCUGCGCCUGGGCAGCAUCUCCACGCCAUGGGACGGAUGUUGGCCGCCGCCAACGCCGGCCGCCGCGCCGUCGCGCUGCAUCAGGAGAAGCGACGUCGGAGCCGCCGCCGUGCCAAGGUGUGGCGGAGAGAACUGCGCUCCUCAUGCGCGUUGGCCGUCUCUGUUGCCGGGCUGCGUGGCGGGCCGUGGUGCUCCUCCGGAGGGAGGAGCGUUGCUGCCGGGAUGUGGUCGUCGCCGCUGUAGACGGCCGUGCCGACGGAGGCCGCGGGUGCGGCCUCAACCAUCCGCAUCCAGGGGGAAAAGGGAGGAGGAGAGUGGACGAGCGGCCGCCGCUUAGACCUUCCUCCGUCCGGAAUCGAGUCCGCUGAUCCGCGGCCGAACUCAUUUAAGAGAGUGUGUUCGAGGCUUCCAAUUGUUGAAUCGAUGGAUGCUGGCGCUGGGUUCUUCCAUCGGUUCUUCUUUCCACAUAGCCAAAUCGCUCGUUUUGGAGAGCAGCAAUUGCUGAUAACGUGUAAAGAGGAAAAAGAGAAAGAGGGGAACGAAUGGAUUGAACAGUGAUUGCAUUGACUGAAGAAUAGGGUAUUUAUACCCAUGUACAAAGGCGGAACGAAGCAAGCACGGCGAGCCCAAAAGGCAAACUGACGCGGCGCAAAGUGGCGAGUACGUUGCGACCUUGCGUCGCUCUUUUGCGGGAUGAGCCGUUGGCGACCACGACGCCGGCGGGUGGGUCGAUGCUGCUACUUGGGCUGGUACGUAUCGCGAGCCUGAGCAGGCCGGGGCACGUACGGUCCCCGGCAAGGGCCGAAAAGGCGUGCGUUUUUCCGGCCGUCGCAGUGGAUAGAUAACUGCACCCAUGCAUGCAUGCAUGGCACACGGGCACGACUGCACGAGGAUCCACGUUGACCACACGGACGUUGUAGCUGUAGCCUGUAGGAGUACGUGCGAGCCAGCUCCUGCAUGCUGCACAAGUGCACAUCGAGGCAUGCAUCGACCAACACCAAAGGUGGACAACGACACCGGCGCGUGCAGCAGGGAGCCAAGCGUCUGUCGCCGUGCCCGUGAGCACGUACGUGGGUGCAUGCGCUAGAAUCUGUGUUUUGAGGUUUGUGUACAAUGUGCUUAGACUGUCUAUAUAAUCUUUUACUCUCUCCUUCUCAUAAUAUAACAACGUUUUUUA